GCCGAAGUGGCGGAACUGGCAUACGCGCGGGUCUCAAAAACCCGUGUCCGCAAGGACAUGUGGGUUCAACUCCCACCUUCGGCA
Molecule: transfer RNA, 84 nt
Filed under: Elusimicrobiota bacterium
Lineage: Bacteria; Pseudomonadati; Elusimicrobiota
Description: Elusimicrobia bacterium (aquatic metagenome) tRNA-Leu
Rfam family: tRNA
About the family: Transfer RNA (tRNA) molecules are approximately 80 nucleotides in length. Their secondary structure includes four short double-helical elements and three loops (D, anti-codon, and T loops).
Source: RNAcentral